Molecule: non-coding RNA, 152 nt
Organism: Ceratotherium simum simum (southern white rhinoceros)
Lineage: Eukaryota; Metazoa; Chordata; Mammalia; Perissodactyla; Rhinocerotidae
Source: RefSeq, a predicted model, not a curated record
AGAAUUUAUAAAAUGUGCUUGUUCAAAAAAUAAACCAAAUUUACAACUUAAUUUGUUCAUGUAAAUUGCCUUGAAAAUACAUUGCAGCUAAGAUGUGCACAAGAUUUUAUGUGCAUUUUGGAAAAAAUUACACAGAAACACCUGCUUUUUCA